This 392-nucleotide unclassified non-coding RNA is filed under the name soil metagenome. RNAcentral describes it as "partial contains 5.8S ribosomal RNA, internal transcribed spacer 2, and large subunit ribosomal RNA". The stretch from base 1 to 123 matches the Rfam family "5.8S ribosomal RNA", at positions 35 to 154 of the family's 154-position model. The record is from RNAcentral.
GAUGAAGAACCGUAGCGAAAUGCGAUACUUGGUGUGAAUUGCAGAAUCCCGUGAACCAUCGAGUCUUUGAACGCAAGUUGCGCCCGAAGCCAUUAGGCCGAGGGCACGCCUGCCUGGGCGUCACACGUCGUUGCCCCCCCAUCUACUCCUUCGGGAUUGCGGGGGGCGGAUGAUGGCCUCCCGUGCGCCUCGCCGCGCGGUUGGCAUAAAUGCCAAGUCCUCGGCGACGCACGCCACGACAAUCGGUGGUUGCGAAACCUCGGUUGCCCGUCGUGUGCGGUCGUCGCGCAUCGAGGGCUCGAAAAAAUUGCCGGGUUCCGGCUCGGCUUUCAACGCGACCCCAGGUCAGGCGGGGUUACCCGCUGAAUUUAAGCAUAUCAAUAAGCGGAGGA